RNAcentral lists this ribosomal RNA (783 nucleotides) under Bursaphelenchus cocophilus (red ring nematode). RNAcentral's name for it is "eukaryotic LSU rRNA". It matches the Rfam family "Eukaryotic large subunit ribosomal RNA", at positions 344 to 966 of the family's 3401-position model. Lineage: Eukaryota; Metazoa; Nematoda; Chromadorea; Rhabditida; Aphelenchoididae. The record is from RNAcentral.
ACAAGUACCGUGAGGGAAAGUUGAAAAGUAUUUUGAAAAGAGAGUGCAAGAGAACGUGAAACCGAUGUAGUGGAAGCGAAUGGAGCCGACGUAUCUGGCGAGUAUUCAGCCGUUCAGCGUGGUGAUUGCCUGUGUUCACAUUCCGCAAGGUUGUGUCGUGGGUACUGUUGCUUUGUUGUGCGGUGCAUUUGCUCGCGGAGUGCGCCGAGUUGUGCGGUGUUGUCCACCGAAGCGUGCUGAGAGGACAGGUCUUCGGCUCUGAAACCUCGGCGCGUCUAGGUGGGUUGACGCUGCGCAGCUAUGUGGAGUUGUGGGUUUUUCGUGCCUGGUCGUGCUGGCUUUGCCGGUUUGUGUAGUACGCGUGCGUGCUGCGCAUAUGGGCUUGGUCGGUGCGGUUGGGUGCUCUGCACUCCUCUCGGUGUAUAGUCGGUGACCCAUUCGACCCGUCUUGAAACACGGACCAAGGAGUUUAUGGUAUACGCGAGUCAUUGGGUUGUGAAACCUACAGGCGCAAUGAAAGUGAGACUUUACUAGUUUUAAUGUGAUCGGUGGUUGUUUCGACGGCCGCCGAGCAACAUUGCCCCGUUUCGAGCACUUGUGCUGUUGCGGAGGUUGAGCGUAUGCUAUGAGACCCGAAAGAUGGUGAACUAUGCCUGAACAGGAUGAAGCCAGAGGAAACUCUGGUGGAAGUCCGAAGCGGUUCUGACGUGCAAAUCGAUCGUCUGAUUUUGGUAUAGGGGCGCAAGACUAAUCGAACCAUCUAGUAGCUGGUUCCCUUCGCAA